AUGGGUAUGGCUUAGUGGUAGAGCGCAUGCUUACUAUGUACAAGGUCCUGGGUUCAAUUCCCAGUACCUCUA
Molecule: transfer RNA, 72 nt
Filed under: Camelus bactrianus (Bactrian camel)
Lineage: Eukaryota; Metazoa; Chordata; Mammalia; Artiodactyla; Camelidae
Also listed under: 1 other name
Rfam family: tRNA
About the family: Transfer RNA (tRNA) molecules are approximately 80 nucleotides in length. Their secondary structure includes four short double-helical elements and three loops (D, anti-codon, and T loops).
Source: Rfam by way of RNAcentral